Mustela erminea (ermine) is the source of this 731-nucleotide long non-coding RNA. RefSeq lists it as uncharacterized. The record is from RefSeq and is a predicted model, not a curated record. The transcript has 4 exons. Lineage: Eukaryota; Metazoa; Chordata; Mammalia; Carnivora; Mustelidae.
AAUAAUGUGAGACAAGGUUUCCUGUCAGUUUAAUGAGUCGGUUGCUGAUUUGCUGAUAUGUCUUCAAGCCAUUUCCUACUUACACAGCUGGGUGUGCUACAUUUCUCUGUGCAUGUGUUUGUGAAGCUCAAGGUGGUUUGGAGGUACGUCAAGAGAGAAGAGGGAGGAAUACAAGGAAGAAGAAGGUGUCAGGCACUUUAUGCCCCUCCCCCCAUCCAAGGUGCCUACACCACAGCCAGCACUUAAACAGAUGGAUGAAACACCAUCGUCCUCCUCUCCAAACUUACAGUCAGCCGUUCGUAUUACUCUUGACAUUUCGGAGGUCAUCUCUCUUUCUCCCCUCAACACACAGACUGGUCUGGCUCCACGAUUCAAAAUGAAAAAGCAAAAUGGCAACAAAUGUCAAGUGUAACAGUGAUUCUUUCAGACAAAGCACCAAGAGAGCAAAGCUAUUAAAAAUUUCAUUCUCUCUGCCCUUCCAUUUACUGGGCUGCAUUCUCUAUGUUACUAAAAUCAGCACCCUUGGAAGGAAUGGCCAGCACCACUGCCUGGGACAUAGCGCUGUUUCUGCAAAUGUGAGUCUAAGUGGAAUAAGACCCACAAAUAGCUCGUUUGGGAGUGACACGGCCUCAUGCAAGAGUCUUCUCACCACGGACCUUCUGACAGAAAUGUGGAAGCCCCUGGAGCCAAAGCGUAUGAGGUAGACCCAGAGAGGAGCCUUCACCCAAGCU